This 203-nucleotide ribosomal RNA is filed under the name uncultured Chlamydiales bacterium. Its description in RNAcentral is "partial 16S ribosomal RNA". It matches the Rfam family "Bacterial small subunit ribosomal RNA", at positions 308 to 504 of the family's 1533-position model. The record is from RNAcentral. Lineage: Bacteria; Pseudomonadati; Chlamydiota; Chlamydiia; Chlamydiales.
CAACACUGGGACUGAGACACUGCCCAGACUCCUACGGGAGGCUGCAGUCGAGAAUCAUUCGCAAUGGGCGCAAGUCUGACGAUGCGACGCCGUGUGAGCGAUGAAGGCCUUCGGGUUGUAAAGCUCUUUCGCUUGGGAACAAGAGAGGUUGGCUAAUAUUCAGCUGAUUUGAGGGUACCAGGUAAAGAAGCCCGGCUAACUCC